RNAcentral lists this non-coding RNA (21 nucleotides) under Caenorhabditis elegans. Lineage: Eukaryota; Metazoa; Nematoda; Chromadorea; Rhabditida; Rhabditidae. The record is from RNAcentral.
UGGAAUGGACGAAACCCACAA